This 272-nucleotide ribosomal RNA is filed under the name Scolelepis sp. GF-17797_8733. RNAcentral's name for it is "partial large subunit ribosomal RNA". Lineage: Eukaryota; Metazoa; Annelida; Polychaeta; Spionida; Spionidae. The record is from RNAcentral.
AUAAUCAUUUGCCUCUUAAUUAGAGGCUUGUAUGAAGGAAUAAACGUGGGUAUAGCUGUUUCACUUUUUUUAAUAAAAAUUAUUUUUCAGGUGAAGAAACCUGAAUUAUUUAAAAAGACAAAAAGACCCUAUGGAGCUUUAUUUAUUAAAAGUACAUUUUAAGAAAACUUAUUUUUCCUACUUUUAUUAAAUUUUGUUGGGGCGACAAAAGAAGAUCUAAAUCUUCUUUAAAUCAAUUAGAAUACACUUCAUUUAUUUUGAUCCAUUUUAUA